RNAcentral lists this transfer RNA (68 nucleotides) under Desmognathus aeneus. Its description in RNAcentral is "tRNA-Trp". It matches the Rfam family "tRNA". Rfam says of the family: Transfer RNA (tRNA) molecules are approximately 80 nucleotides in length. The record is from RNAcentral. Lineage: Eukaryota; Metazoa; Chordata; Amphibia; Caudata; Plethodontidae.
AAAGAUUUAAGUUAUAAGACUAAAGGCCUUCAAAGCCUAAAGCAGGAGCUAAAUCCCCCUAAUCUUUG